This 2049-nucleotide long non-coding RNA is filed under the name Mytilus galloprovincialis (Mediterranean mussel). The record is from RNAcentral. Lineage: Eukaryota; Metazoa; Mollusca; Bivalvia; Mytilida; Mytilidae.
UCCAGUUAACAUUACAUACAGUCUGCAGUUAAAGUUUAUAAAACAUUUAUUAGAUUCAUAAACUAUCCUGGAACUUGGAAGCUUCUUUCAAUCAAAAGACAGUAUCGAGAGGGAAAUUUUUAUUGAUGUUUUUCCUCAUUUUUGUUGAGUCUGCGAUUAACAGCAAAAGUAGGCGAGACACUGGGUUCCGUGGAACCCUUACAAAUUUUUUAAACUAAAUACCCCAGUGAUGAUUGUGACCAAGUUUGGUUAAAUUUGGCCCAGAGUUUCAGAGGAGAAGAUUUUUGUAAAAGAUAACGACGACGGACGCCAAGUGAUCUCCAAACUACCUUGACCAAAAACUUUAACCUGAAACUCACACGUUCAUUUUCUAUGUUCAAUGGACCGUGAAAUUGGGGUCAAAAGUCUAAUUUGGCUUUAAAAUUAGAAAGAUCAUAUCAUAAGCAACAAGUGUACUAAGUUUCAAGUUGAUUGGACUUCAGCUUCAUCAAAAACUACCUUGAUCAAAAACUUUAACUGAAACUCCAACUUUCAUUUUCUAUGUUCAAUGGACCGUGAAAUUCGGGUCAAAAGUCUAAUUUGGCUUUAAAAUUAGAAAGAUCAUAUCAUAAGCAACAAGUGUACUGAGUUUCAAGUUGAUUGGACUUCAGCUUCAUCAAAAACUACCUUGAUCAAAAACUUUAACCUGAAACUCCCACUUUCAUUUUCUAUGUUCAAUGGACCUUGAAAUUGGGGUUAAAAGUCAAAUUUGGCUUUAAAAUUAGAAAGAUCAUAUCAUAAGCAACAAGUGUACUGACUUUCAAGUUGAUUGGACUUCAGCUUCAUCAAAAACUACCUUGACCAAAAACUUUAACCUGAAGCGGGACGAAUGAACUAACGGACGGACGAAAGGAGCCUCAGACCAGAAAACAUAAUGCCCCUCUACUAUCGUAGGAUGGGCAUGAAAAUAUUCCUCUCUAUACUAUCUUUUGUUUGUAAGAAGCUUCUGUCAAGUUUGGUAAAAAUCCAGGAUAGUUUAUGAAUCUAAAAAAUGUUUUAAAAACUUACUGCAGACUGCAUGUAAUGUUAACUGGAAGAAAAACUAAGUCCAUUUAUAGGUAAAAUACGGAAAAACAAGAACAAAAUUUCCUUCUGGAUACUAACUUUUGAUCAUAAACAAGAUUCUGUCCAGGUUUGGUAGAAAUCCAGGAUAGUUUAAGAAAGUUAUUAAAUUUUAAAAACUUUAACCACAGACUGCAUGUAAUGUUUCCUGGCAGAAAAACUAAGUCCAUUUAUAAGUAAAAUACGGAAAAAAAGGAUUAAUUUUUUACAAAAUUAACUUUUGGGUACUACCUUAUGAUCAUAAACAAGCUUCUGUCCAAGUUUGGUAGAAAUCCAGGAUAAUUUUUUUUAAGUUAUUAAAAUUUAAAAAAUUAGAAUGAAUGUAAUGUUUCCUGGCAGAAAAACUAAGUCCAUUUAUAAGUAAAAUACGAAUAUUUUUUUUUUUUUUUUUAAAUCUACUUUUGGAUACUACCAUAACUGUUCUUAUGAUCCUAAACAAGUUUCUGUCCAAGUUAUGGUAGAAAUCCAGGAUAGUUUAAAAAAGUUAUUAAAAUUUCAAAAACUUUAAUCACAGAGUGAAUAUUUGUGGAUGCCUCCGACAGAAUGUAGGAUCGCUAUGUCUCACUGUCUUGCUUUUUCAACAAAAGUCGAACUCGAAAGCUCAACAACAAUACAAAAGUAUAAUAGGUGUACACCUUAAACACCGAUAUAUACAUGUCAGUAAUCAGGUAAUAUUACACAACCUAGAAUUAUACAGUAGGUGCACACCUUUAACAUUGGUGUACAAAAUAGCACAUAAUCUGGAAAUAUAUAAUAAGUGUACAACUUUGACAUCGUUAUAAUCAUAUCAGCAAUAUCACACAACACUAGAAUUAUAUAUUAGGUGUACAACUGUACACCUUUAACACCAGUAUAUUCAUCUCAUAAUGCCACAUCCUAGAAUUGUAUAAAGCAGUUCACUAAGGGUUUAAAAUACAUACACAUCAAAUAAGUAACUUUCAAAUAAAA